AGAGUGGUUUAGGACAAGAACAAAUAAAGCCAAAGAUCCUCCUGGCUGUAGCACGCACUCCGAGGACACGAAGACCCAACACGAAAGUAGCUUUAAUUAUAUUUUCCUGACCCCACGAAAGCUAAGAAACAAACUGGGAUUAGAUACCCCACUAUG
This 156-nucleotide ribosomal RNA is filed under the name Characidae sp. I-GIA:411. RNAcentral's name for it is "partial small subunit ribosomal RNA". Lineage: Eukaryota; Metazoa; Chordata; Actinopteri; Characiformes; Characidae. The record is from RNAcentral.